GAUGAACGCUGGCGGCGUGCCUAAUACAUGCAAGUCGAGCGAACAGACGAGGGGCUUGCUCCUUCGACGUUAGCGGCGGACGGGUGAGUAACACGUAGGUAACCUACCUAUAAGACUGGGAUAACUUCGGGAAACCGGAGCUAAUACCGGAUAAUAUUUCGAACCGCAUGGUUCGAUAGUGAAAGAUGGCUUUGCUAUCACUUAUAGAUGGACCUGCGCCGUAUUAGCUAGUUGGUAAGGUAACGGCUUACCAAGGCAACGAUACGUAGCCGACCUGAGAGGGUGAGCGGCCACACUGGAACUGAGACACGGUCCAGACUCCUACGGGAGGCAGCAGUAGGGAAUCUUCCGCAAUGGGCGAAAGCCUGACGGAGCAACGCCGCGUGAGUGGUGAAGGUCUUCGGAUCGUAAGACUCUGUUAUUAGGGAAGAACAAACGUGUAAGUAACUGUGCACGUCUUGACGGUACCUAAUCAGAAAGCCACGGCUAACUACGUGCCAGCAGCCGCCGUAA
Molecule: ribosomal RNA, 513 nt
Filed under: uncultured bacterium
Lineage: Bacteria
Description: partial 16S ribosomal RNA
Rfam family: Bacterial small subunit ribosomal RNA
Source: RNAcentral